RNAcentral lists this ribosomal RNA (253 nucleotides) under uncultured bacterium. RNAcentral's name for it is "partial 16S ribosomal RNA". It matches the Rfam family "Bacterial small subunit ribosomal RNA", at positions 524 to 776 of the family's 1533-position model. The record is from RNAcentral.
UACGAAGGGGGCUAGCGUUGCUCGGAAUGACUGGGCGUAAAGGGCGCGUAGGCGGAGUGCUUUGUCGGGCGUGAAAUUCCAGGGCUCAACCUUGGGGCUGCGUUCGAGACGGGCAUUCUAGAGUGGAGAAGAGGGUCGUGGAAUUCCCAGUGUAGAGGUGAAAUUCGUAGAUAUUGGGAAGAACACCGGUGGCGAAGGCGGCAUCCUGGACCGGCAUUGACGCUGAGGCGCGAAAGCCAGGGGAGCAAACGGG